Gossypium raimondii (Peruvian cotton) is the source of this 814-nucleotide long non-coding RNA. RefSeq lists it as uncharacterized. The transcript has 3 exons. Lineage: Eukaryota; Viridiplantae; Streptophyta; Magnoliopsida; Malvales; Malvaceae. The record is from RefSeq and is a predicted model, not a curated record.
UUCCAUGUUAAACUUGCAAAAUCUGAAAUUGACUCUCAUUAAUCAUUUCCAACGUCCUAUAUUUUAUUUAUCACCGUAUUGAUGAUUCAAAGUCUUGAAUAAAUCUCAACCGUGGUGGUGUAUUUCCCAUGCAAAAUUAUAUGAAGAAAUCGAAGUUUAGAACUUUCAAAGGUGCGUGGUAUCGAUGUUAAAGGUUCUCUGCGUCAAAACUAAGAGCACGUUUGGUUGGAUGGAAUUGCUAUUCCAUUCUGCAUAAAUUCCGCGCGCUAUAGUGUUGCAUGCGUUUGGUUCACCGUUUCCUCUAUUCCACUGAAUAGCUAUUACAUUGUCAUUCCCUCAUCUCACCGUUUAGGUAUUCAGGGGUUGGGGGUCUGCAUACCCAUUCAAGGCAACACCGUUUAGGUUUUAGACGAAAAUAACCUGCCUCUCUUCUUCCCAAAAUUCACUCCAGAUUUCUUCCUCCCCAAAUCAAACAUCCAUUCGCCCUUCAUCUUCAUCUCCCGUCACAUUUUCUUCUUGUUUACACGAAUUGAAGAAAUAAAGUUUCUAUUGGAUGCAAUGAAAUCCAUCAGUACCAACAAAGUACUAAACUCCUCAUCAGAAACUGCCUUUCGAAAGGCUCGUUCGUGAAAUUACCCAAGACUUUUUAAGGUGGACAGACAAGUAUCAAGUAACGGACAUAAACAAAUAUCUCCACUGCAAUGAUGAUACCAUUUACUCUUUUCUAGUAAUACAUAAAAGACAAUAUAUACAUGUUAAACUACAUUUACAUUUUGGAUUUGAUCUUUUACUUUAAACAAGAACAUUUUGGUUA